Molecule: ribosomal RNA, 426 nt
Filed under: uncultured bacterium
Lineage: Bacteria
Description: bacterial SSU rRNA
Rfam family: Bacterial small subunit ribosomal RNA
Source: RNAcentral
GAAUAUUGGACAAUGGGCGAAAGCCUGAUCCAGCCAUGCCGCGUGUGUGAAGAAGGUCUUCGGAUUGUAAAGCACUUUAAGUUGGGAGGAAGGGUAGUAACUUAAUACGUUGCUAUUUUGACGUUACCGACAGAAUAAGCACCGGCUAACUUCGUGCCAGCAGCCGCGGUAAUACGGGGGGAGCAAGCGUUGUUCGGAUUUACUGGGCGUAAAGGGCGCGUAGGCGGCCACCGCAAGUCGACUGUGAAAUCUCCGGGCUUAACCCGGAACGGUCAGCCGAUACUGCGGGGCUAGAGUGCAGAAGGGGCAACUGGAAUUCUCGGUGUAGCGGUGAAAUGCGUAGAUAUCGAGAGGAACACCUGCGGCGAAGGCGGGUUGCUGGGCUGACACUGACGCUGAGGCGCGAAAGCUAGGGGAGCGAACGGG